This 1909-nucleotide long non-coding RNA is filed under the name Corvus moneduloides (New Caledonian crow). Its description in RNAcentral is "lncRNA (ENSCMUG00000017544.1)". Lineage: Eukaryota; Metazoa; Chordata; Aves; Passeriformes; Corvidae. The record is from RNAcentral.
AUGUGCUGCCGUUCGAGGGGAUGUAUGACUAAAAUAUUUCCUGUCCAGACAGCGCAGCCUGACUCACUGCUGGCACGGCCCGGCCCCGCCGCGGCACUUGCACCGGCCCCGCACCUGCCCGCGGAGCCAGCGCGGCCCCGCCGCUCCCUCCGCCCCGGCCCGUCCCGGGCUGCCCGGGCCCGGCGGCCGCUCCCCCCCGCCGCGGGGCCCCGCAGGAGCCGGGCCGACCCCCGCCGGUGGUUACCUGCUGUCCGGGGGCUCGGCGGGGCGGCCGGCCCGCGGCUCAUGGCGGUGCGGGAGGGGCGGGCGUGUGCGGCAACUCCGAUCCAGCGCGGCUCUCAGCGUCCCGCGGCCAAACCCCAACUAAUCCUCCGCGGGGAACCAACUCCGCGGGCCGGGCGCGCGGGCGGCCGGGCGGGCAUCCUUCCCGGGCCGCCGACCCCUUCCCCGCGCCUGCAAGAUGGUUCCCGGGAGCAGCGAGCGGAGCGCGGCGUGCGGGGUGCGCGGCGGGCACGGAGCGGGCGCUACUGGAGCGGCAGCAGGACAAAGAAAACCAUGUGCGGCGGCGGCGGCCGGGGGCAGCGGCGGCACCUCCGGGUGCGGGGCGGUGCGGGGCGGUGCGGCCGCGGCGCCUCCUCCCUCCCUCCGCGGCUCCAGCGCCGGCGGCUGCGCGUCCCUUCCUCCGGGCGGCUUUUUGGGUUCUCUUCCGCUGUUUGCUGUGGGAAAAACCAAUGUCCCCAGCUGCAGGCAGGGUGGCCUGCCGGGGACCCGGGCUGCUCGCUGAGCUGUGGUGACUGCCUGAGCCCCCGUGCAGAGACUCGACUGACUACUUCCAGCACUGAACAUUAUUGUCAACGGGCAAUGGAUUUCCCACUCGCUGUAGGUUUUCCUUAAGCGCAGCACACCAUUAGUAAUGGCCACCGCGGAAAAUAAACGCACAGAUACAUGAUGAUAUAAAUGAUUAUUCACUGAAGCGCGGCACUCGGAGCCAAAUGAUGUUUCCUGGGAAGAUGAGAGGCAGUUAUGCACAUUGGCACAGUAGCCCAUACGGUGAGAUGUUUCCUGGGAAAGGGAUAGGUGCUAAGAGAGGACUUACGGGCUUGCAAGACCGUGCCCAGGGAGUGUUUUCAAGAUUUCAAACCUGGAAAUGGGUUUCAAACCCAUACGGGCUAGGAGUGCUAAUGGAAUUUAACUCCCAUGGGUUCCACUUGAAUUUGAGCUAAAUCCUCAGAAACAGAGUUGACAAGCCCUAUUCACCCCAACUCCUGUGCCAGAGCUCAGCCUGGAGGAGGUGACUCUCCUAAGGAAAAGGUGGGAACUACCUACACCAGCCAGAAAACAAAAGCAGAGCAAGAGCUGUGUGUGCCUGGUCGGCCUCACCUGAGCUGGGAUUAUAGUUAUGUGCUCGAAAUCCAACAGCAGCUUGGAAAGAUGUCCCUAUGUCCUGGCCCAGCUCCGAGCUCGCCUCGGGACGUGGGAUGACGAGGGACUGCCCUUCUCCUGGCCCCAGGGCACCAAGGUGGCUCUGAGCUCUCCCCCAGCAGUGACGGGGUGCAGGUGGCUGCAGUGGCUCUGGUGGCCCUGCCCAGAGCAAAUCCCACAGUGUGUGAGGGGAAGGGAAAUCAUGAUCUGACUGUCCACACAAAAACAAGUACCAUAAUUAAGAAAGAACUCCUACCAAUUACCCAUGUAGAACUACAUGAUUUAAUGCAAGUAUUUCCUAUUUGUUCCUCAUUCCAUCACCGUAUGAUCUAUUUAAGAAUCCAUUUAAGUUUUCCCCUUCAGUAGCUUCUCCAGGAUUCUUACCUGAGGUGCAGUCCCACUGACUGUGGUGGUUUCUGCUGGGACAGCAGGGUGGGAAGAUGUACAAAGAACAGUAAUGAUACACAGGAGAUGAACACACCCAGCA